RNAcentral lists this ribosomal RNA (375 nucleotides) under Sesamia sp. SEOUG3700. RNAcentral's name for it is "partial 16S large subunit ribosomal RNA". The record is from RNAcentral. Lineage: Eukaryota; Metazoa; Arthropoda; Insecta; Lepidoptera; Noctuidae.
GAUGACUUGUAUGAAGGAUUGGAUGAGAUAUAAACUGUCUCUUAUUUAUAGUAUAGAAUUUAAUUUUUUAUUUAAAAAGUUAAAAUAUAUUAAAAAGACGAGAAGACCCUAUAGAGUUUUAUAGUUAAAUUUAAUUAGGAUUAUUUGUAUUAUUAAAAUUAAAAUUAAUUUAAUUAUUAUAUUGGGGUGAUAGAAAAAUAUGAAAAACUUUUUAUAUAUAUAUUAAACCAUUGAUAAAUGAUUAAAUGAUCCAAUAUUAUUGAUUAUAAGAAAAAGUUACCUUAGGGAUAACAGCGUAAUUUUUUUUUUUAGUUCAUAUAAGAAAAAGAGUUUGCGACCUCGAUGUUGGAUUAAGAUAAAAUUUAAAUGUAGAAG